This 253-nucleotide ribosomal RNA is filed under the name uncultured bacterium. RNAcentral describes it as "partial 16S ribosomal RNA". It matches the Rfam family "Bacterial small subunit ribosomal RNA", at positions 524 to 776 of the family's 1533-position model. The record is from RNAcentral.
UACGAAGGGGGCUAGCGUUGCUCGGAAUUACUGGGCGUAAAGGGCGCGUAGGCGGAUAGUUUAGUCAGAGGUGAAAGCCCAGGGCUCAACCCUGGAAUUGCCUUUGAUACUGGCUAUCUUGAGUUCGGGAGAGGUGAGUGGAAUGCCGAGUGUAGAGGUGAAAUUCGUAGAUAUUCGGCGGAACACCAGUGGCGAAGGCGACUCACUGGCCCGAUACUGACGCUGAGGCGCGAAAGCGUGGGGAGCAAACAGG